Molecule: ribosomal RNA, 253 nt
Filed under: uncultured bacterium
Lineage: Bacteria
Description: partial 16S ribosomal RNA
Rfam family: Bacterial small subunit ribosomal RNA
Source: RNAcentral
UACGGAGGGUGCAAGCGUUGUUCGGAAUUAUUGGGCGUAAAGAGCGUGUAGGCGGGUUGGCAAGUCAGAUGUGAAAGCCCUGGGCUCAACUCAGGAAGUGCAUUUGAAACUGCCAUCCUUGAGUAUGGGAGAGGAGAGUGGAAUUCCCAGUGUAGAGGUGAAAUUCGUAGAUAUUGGGAGGAACAUCCGUGGCGAAGGCGACUCUCUGGACCAAUACUGACGCUGAGACGCGAAAGCGUGGGGAGCAAACAGG